GGGCGGUUAGCUCAGUUGGUUAGAGCGCAGCGUUGACAUCGCUGAGGUCGGAGGUUCGACUCCUCCAUCGCCCACCA
Molecule: transfer RNA, 77 nt
Filed under: Chloroflexota bacterium
Lineage: Bacteria; Bacillati; Chloroflexota
Also listed under: 2 other names
Description: tRNA-Val
Rfam family: tRNA
About the family: Transfer RNA (tRNA) molecules are approximately 80 nucleotides in length. Their secondary structure includes four short double-helical elements and three loops (D, anti-codon, and T loops).
Source: RNAcentral